This 1360-nucleotide unclassified non-coding RNA is filed under the name Hevea brasiliensis (rubber tree). Lineage: Eukaryota; Viridiplantae; Streptophyta; Magnoliopsida; Malpighiales; Euphorbiaceae. The record is from RNAcentral.
UUUACUUUUUUUUUAUUUUAUUUUGUUCUUAUGAUAUUUGAGAAGUUUGAAUCUGGAAACUAGGGUUCUGAUUUGCUUGUGUUCGUUGUCUUAUGUAAGGAUGCCAAUUUCAUUAUUUGAGAUUGUUCUGAUUGUGAAUUCCGUGCUUUAGAUCAGAUAGAAACAAUGUUGUGUAUAAACUUGUUAUUUUUUGGGGUUGCUUUUUUGCUUAGUGAUUAAUUUCUUGAUUUGCAGUGAUUACUUGCUCAUUCCGAAGAAACCCACAUAGACCAUGUUGAGAAAUGAGGCUUAUAUUUAAGAAAUGGGUUGUGUUCUUGGUAAAGAGGUAGCCUCUGGCAUUGUUUCAGAGUCUAAAGAGGUCAAGAACCUGAGUGUUGAAUCUAGAAGAAAAUUAGACAAUGUUUCAGUGACAAAGACCGACAAUAGUAGUGUUGUUGAGAUUCAAAAUGUGGAGAUUCAGGAGGAGAAAAGGGAGGGGGAUAGGAAACCUAGGGGUGAGAGGAGAAGGUCUAGGCCAAACCCUAGGCUGAGCAAUCCACCCAAGCAUUUGCGAGGCGAGCAGGUGGCAGCUGGAUGGCCACCAUGGCUAUCAACAGUGUGCGGGGAGGCACUCAAUGGAUGGAUUCCGCGGCGGGCAGACACAUUUGAGAAGAUAGAUAAGAUUGGAUCUGGAACAUAUAGCAAUGUGUACAAAGCUAGAGAUCUAUUAACGGAUAAAAUUGUUGCCCUAAAGAAGGUCCGAUUUGAUAAUUUGGAACCUGAAAGUGUGAAGUUCAUGGCUAGAGAGAUCCUCAUUCUACGGAGAUUGGAUCAUCUGAAUGUUGUAAAGUUGGAGGGUUUAGUUACUUCCAGGAUGUCAUGUAGCUUGUACCUGGUAUUUGAGUACAUGGAGCAUGAUCUAGCUGGGCUUGCUGUGAGCCCAGGAGUAAAGUUCACGGAGUCACAGGUUAAAUGUUACAUGCAUCAACUAUUGUCUGGACUUGAGCACUGCCACAACCGUGGUGUGCUUCAUCGUGACAUCAAAGGAUCAAAUCUUCUUAUUGACAAUGAAGGGAUACUUCGAAUUGCUGAUUUUGGAUUGGCAUCUUUGUUUGAUCCCAAUCACAAGCAUCCGAUGACUAGUCGGGUGGUUACACUGUGGUACAGACCUCUUGAGCUUCUUCUUGGUGCUACUGAUUAUGGUGUGGGUGUGGAUCUCUGGAGUGCAGGUUGUAUACUUGCUGAGUUAUUAGCUGGAAAGCCCAUAAUGCCAGGUCGUACUGAGGUAGAGCAACUGCAUAAGAUAUACAAGCUAUGUGGUUCACCUUCAGAUGACUACUGGAAGAAAUCAAAAUUACCUAAUGCAACUUUAUUUAGACCU